GACGAACGCUGGCGGCGUGCUUAACACAUGCAAGUCGAACGGAAAGGCCCUGCUCUUGUGGGGUGCUCGAGUGGCGAACGGGUGAGUAACACGUGAGUAACCUGCCCUUGACUUUGUGAUAACUCCUGGAAACUGCGGCUCAUACCGGAUAGGAGCUCCUGCUGCAUGGUGGGGGUUGGAAAGUUUCGGCGGUUGUGGAUGGACUCGCGGCUUAUGAGCUUGAUUGGGUGGUAGUUGCUUACCAAGGCUUUGACGGGUAGCCGGCCUGGGAGCGUGGACGGCGACAAUGGGACUGAGAUACGCACCAGACGCCUACGGGAGGCAGUAGUGGGGAAUAUUGCACAAUGGGCGGAAGCGUGAUGCAGCGACGCCGGGUGCGGGAAGACGGCCUUCGGGUUGUAAACAACUGUCGACUGUGACGAAGCGUGAGUGACGGUAAUGGGUAAAGAAGCCCCGGCUAACUACGUG
This 468-nucleotide ribosomal RNA is filed under the name uncultured bacterium. RNAcentral's name for it is "partial 16S ribosomal RNA". It matches the Rfam family "Bacterial small subunit ribosomal RNA", at positions 28 to 507 of the family's 1533-position model. The record is from RNAcentral.